RNAcentral lists this ribosomal RNA (372 nucleotides) under uncultured organism. Its description in RNAcentral is "bacterial SSU rRNA". It matches the Rfam family "Bacterial small subunit ribosomal RNA", at positions 526 to 896 of the family's 1533-position model. The record is from RNAcentral.
CAGAGGUGCCGAGCGUUAGGCGGAAUCACUGGGCUUAAAGCGUGUGUAGGCGGGUCUGUAAGUACCUUGUGAAAUCCCACGGCUCAACCGUGGAACUGCUUGGUAUACUGCGGGUCUUGAGCCACUUAGGGGCAACCGGAACAAACGGUGGAGCGGUGAAAUGCGUAGAUAUCGUUUGGAACGCCAAUGGUGAAAACAGGUUGCUGGGAGUGUGCUGACGCUGAGACACGAAAGCCAGGGGAGCAAACGGGAUUAGAUACCCCGGUAGUCCUGGCCGUAAACGAUGUCGACUAGAUCGCGGUGGCUCUGACGCCAUCGCGGUCGAAGCAAAAGUGCUAAGUCGACCGCCUGGGAAGUACGGUCGCAAGGCUA